GUGGGGAAUUUUGGACAAUGGGCGCAAGCCUGAUCCAGCAAUGCCGCGUGCAGGAAGAAGGCCUUCGGGUUGUAAACUGCUUUUGUACGGAACGAAACGGUCCUGGUUAAUACCUGGGGCUAAUGACGGUACCGUAAGAAUAAGCACCGGCUAACUACGUGCCAGCAGCCGCGGUAAUACGUAGGGUGCGAGCGUUAAUCGGAAUUACUGGGCGUAAAGCGUGCGCAGGCGGUGCUGUAAGACAGGCGUGAAAUCCCCGGGCUCAACCUGGGAAUUGCGCUUGUGACUGCAGUGCUGGAGUACGGCAGAGGGGGAUGGAAUUCCGCGUGUAGCAGUGAAAUGCGUAGAUAUGCGGAGGAACACCGAUGGCGAAGGCAGUCCCCUGGGCCUGUACUGACGCUCAUGCACGAAAACGUGGGGAGCAAACAGGAUUAGAUACCCCAGUAGUCC
Molecule: ribosomal RNA, 450 nt
Filed under: uncultured bacterium
Lineage: Bacteria
Description: partial 16S ribosomal RNA
Rfam family: Bacterial small subunit ribosomal RNA
Source: RNAcentral